ACGCUGGCGGCGUGUCUAAGGCAUGCAAGUCGAACGAACAUUGCGUUUUCGGAUGUAAUGUUAGUGGCAAACGGGUGCGUAACACAUUGGUAACCUACCCCAAAGACGGGAAUAACUCAGGGAAACUUGAGCUAAUACCCGAUAUGUUGCGACAGCUUAUGCUGUUUCAAUAAAGCUACGGCGCUUUGGGAUGGGCCUAUGCCUCAUCAGCUUGUUGGUAAGGUAAAAGCUUACCAAGGCUACGACGAGUAGCGGGUGUGGGAGCAUGACCCGCCUCACUGGGACUGAGACACUGCCCAGACUCCUACGGGAGGCUGCAGUCAAGAAUCUUCCUCAAUGCACGAAAGUGUGAAGGAGCGACGCCGCGUGAUUGAAGAAGCCCUUCGGGGUGUAAAGAUCUUUUUUCCGGGACGAACUAAUGACGGUACCGGAAGAAUAAGGGGCUGCUAAACUCGUGCCAGCAGCAGCGGUAAUACGAGUGCCCCAAGCGUUACCCGGAUUUAUUGGGCGUAAAGCGUGUGCAGGCGGUUUAUUAAGUCAAUGGUCAAAUCCUCCGGCUCAACCGGAGAACUGCCGUUGAUACUGAUAGACUAGAGGCUGGAAGAGGCAAGCGGAAUUGCUGGUGUAGGGGUCAAAUCCGUUAAUAUCAGCAGGAACACCAAAUGCGAAGGCAGCUUGCUAGAACAGACCUGACGCUAAUACACGAAAGCGUGGGGAGCGAAGCGGAUUAGAUACCCGCGUAGUCCACGCCGUAAACGAUGGAUACUAGACAUUGGAAGUUUCGACCCUUUCAGUGUCGUUGACAAAAGCUAACGCGUUAAGUAUCCCGCCUGGGGAGUACGGCCGCAAGGCUAAAACUCAAAGGAAUUGACGGGGACUCGCACAAGCGGUGGAGCACGUGGUUUAAUUCGACGAUAAGCGAAAAACCUUACCAAGGCUUGACAUAUAGCUGCACGCCUCCAGAAAUGGAGGAAGCUUUCGAAGGUGCUAUACAGAUGCUGCAUGGUUGCCGUCAGCUCGUGUCGUGAGAUGUACGGUUAAGUCCGGAAACGAGCGCAACCCCUAUCCUAAUUUGUACUUUAUUAGGAAACUGCCUCGGUCAACGAGGAGGAAGGUGGGGACGACGUCAAAUCAGCAUGGCUCUUACGCCUUGGGCUACACACAUGCUACAAUGGCCAAUACAGAGGGUUGCCAAAUCGCAAGAUGGAGCUAAUCCCAUCAAAGUUGGUCUCAGUUCGGAUUGUGGUCUGCAACUCGACCACAUGAAGCUGGAAUCGCUAGUAACCGUGAAUCAGCACGUCACGGUGAANCGUUCUCGAGUCUUGUACACACCGCCCGUCAUGUCAAGAGAGUCGGUAGUACCCGAAUGUCGUUGUAGGACGGCAGAAGGUAAGACCGGUGAUAGGGGCAAAGU
This 1414-nucleotide ribosomal RNA is filed under the name uncultured organism. RNAcentral's name for it is "bacterial SSU rRNA". It matches the Rfam family "Bacterial small subunit ribosomal RNA". The record is from RNAcentral.